UCAUUGUUUUCCCAUGAUUUCUUGAGAUCAUCUUUCUUCCUAGUUCUUCAAUAACCCAACCCACUAAUCAAAAACCUCUCCACAGUGAAAAUCAAAAGGCAUCUCCAUGCACACAGAUAUGAAGCUCAAAUUGCUUUCAUGGUUCCUCUUCUUGCUCCUAUUCUCUCAAACGGUUUCAAGGUCUGCCUCUGACACCACUUUCUCUCGUACAUAUGCAGCUUCUGAGCUUUCAGAAAAUAUUAGAGGAAAACAACCUGUGGGUUCAAAUGGAACGAUUGGGAUGGAUAUGGAAAGAAGGGGAAGAGGAUCAGAGAUAGUAAAAAAUGUGCAAAGGAAGGGCCAGAAGGGGAGCGGAGGUGGCUCUGAUCUAAACCGAAGGCCUCCUCGGACUUCUCAUGGUGGUGCAUCUACCUUCCCGGCAAGCCCAUCUUUAGUAAUCGAUGUGGUCCUGCAAGUCAGCAUUGGAUUACUGAUAGUUUUCCAUUUCUUCUUCUGAUUAUGUUGCAAGAUCUCCCUUUACAGGACACAACAUUGAUCUUCAUUUUUCAUGCAUCGCUUCCUCCUUUGGAUCCAUUUGUCAAAUUCAACGUGUAUUGAAAGAGCUUGGAAACCAAAGUUUAGCCGGUACUGGAGGUGCAUAUAUGCCAAGAUUUUUUUUUUCUCCUAGCAUGGGAUCCUGACAUGUGAUAUUUCUUUGUUGCUGUACUUUGACUCUUGUAGAACUUUGUUCGCAUUAAUAUAAUUUUAUUUCUAUAAUAAAAAAAUAAAAAAAAAUAAAAAAAAUAUAUUAUACUAUGGGUAAAACUAGCGGGUUCCAGUACGCAGGAGGAUUUUUGUUUUUUUUGUCAUCAAAUAAU
This is an RNA transcript of Macadamia integrifolia, 857 nucleotides long. RefSeq lists it as uncharacterized. The record is from RefSeq and is a predicted model, not a curated record. The transcript has 3 exons. NCBI's taxonomy places the organism in Eukaryota, Viridiplantae, Streptophyta, Magnoliopsida, Proteales, Proteaceae.